CCUACGGGUGGCAGCAGUGGGGAAUAUUGCACAAUGGGGGAAACCCUGAUGCAGCAACGCCGCGUGAGUGAAGAAGUAUUUCGGUAUGUAAAGCUCUAUCAGCAGGGAAGAAGAAAGACGGUACCUGACUAAGAAGCCCCGGCUAACUACGUGCCAGCAGCCGCGGUAAUACGUAGGGGGCAAGCGUUAUCCGGAUUUACUGGGUGGAAAGGGAGCGUAGACGGCUGUGCAAGUCUGAAGGUAAAGCCCGUGGCUCAACCGCGGAACUGCUUUGGAAACUGUAUAGCUGGAGUACUGGAGAGGCAGGCGGAAUUCCUAGUGUAGCGGUGAAAUGCGUAGAUAUUAGGAGGAACACCAGUGGCGAAGGCGGCCUGCUGGACAGAAACUGACGUUGAGGCUCGAAAGCGUGGGGAGCAAACAGGAUUAGAUACCCGGGUAGUC
This 441-nucleotide ribosomal RNA is filed under the name uncultured bacterium. RNAcentral's name for it is "partial 16S ribosomal RNA". It matches the Rfam family "Bacterial small subunit ribosomal RNA", at positions 338 to 795 of the family's 1533-position model. The record is from RNAcentral.